This is a long non-coding RNA of Canis lupus familiaris (dog), 595 nucleotides long. RefSeq lists it as uncharacterized. The record is from RefSeq and is a predicted model, not a curated record. The transcript has 4 exons. NCBI's taxonomy places the organism in Eukaryota, Metazoa, Chordata, Mammalia, Carnivora, Canidae.
CUAGAGGACUGGCUUAUCACAUUGAACUUAUAUAAGCUUGAAGAGAAUCCAAUAUAAGAGACUGAGAAGGAGCAAUCUGUAUGACUGAAGGAAAGAAAACCAGGAGAAUGAAUUAUUGCAGAGGCCAGUUUGAUUGUUGAAGAAUGCAACUACAGAGCAAAUGCUUCCUCUAUAAAGCAUCUAUUCAUCUGCUGGCUGAUAUAUUAAACAGCAAAUAUUACUGAAGCCUAUGCAAGAUACUGUUAGUUAAGAGGGAACAGAGAAUGAAGAUGGUAUAAUAAGAGAUAUGAUUUCUAUCUUCAAGAAAACUAUAAUAAAACAAGGAAGACAUGAGUAUGAACAAGUAACAAAAGAAGAAAACAUGAAAUGAGAUACAUGUGAAACACUGAGAGGCAAUUUUUUGUGGUACAAAAAACAUGGGCUUCAGAGUCAAACUAUAGAUUUCAAUUUUUCUACUUUGCCUCUGUUUCAGGAAGGACUUCUAAUCCAUCAGCUGGAAUAUGAAAGGAUAAAUAACAUUUGCCAUUCCUCAUAAAGACAUUUUUGAUAUUUUAAUUUAUAAGACACUUAAUAAACACUUUGAGUGUUUUUUCAU